RNAcentral lists this ribosomal RNA (206 nucleotides) under uncultured bacterium. RNAcentral describes it as "partial 16S ribosomal RNA". It matches the Rfam family "Bacterial small subunit ribosomal RNA", at positions 568 to 774 of the family's 1533-position model. The record is from RNAcentral.
UGCGUAGGUGGUUUCUUAAGUCAGAGGUGAAGGGCUACGGCUCAACCGUAGUAAGCCUUUGAAACUGGGAAACUUGAGUGCAGGAGAGGAGAGUGGAAUUCCUAGUGUAGCGGUGAAAUGCGUAGAUAUUAGGAGGAACACCAGUUGCGAAGGCGGCUCUCUGGACUGUAACUGACACUGAGGCACGAAAGCGUGGGGAGCAAACA